AUCAAUUAAUUUUUCCCGGCCUGCUCAUUUUCGUUUCCCCCUUUUCGAAAUUUUCAAGUCUUUGAAAACCCUAACCAAAUGAUAACCCCAAAUUAAGCAAACACUAUCGUGUCUAACCAACGCAUUGAUGCAGAUCUACCGCCACAGUCGCGGAUCACCGGAACUGUAACCGUAGUACCACCUAGAACUAUCACCACCGCCUCCAGUCUCCGCCAAGUGACAGCAGCACCAUAACCAUAACUGACCUAGACUAUGGAAUCCCAAAUUCUAUGGACAUAUUAAGGAUUUAAUCAAACCAUUUCAAUAAAUUGGAUACAACAGAUGUGUUGAAGAUGGAUACGGUUGUACCACGGAGAAGAUACAAACACUUGCAUUUUUUGUGGCUUUUAAUUUCUACUAAUACAGGCAUUUGGUAACUUAUUCUUUGCCCCAUUUAGUAUUACUAAUUGAUUAUCUUGCUGAUUUAGGUUACAUUAACCAUUGGGGUUGAUGUCCAAUAGGAGAAGCAAACUAGGAGCAUCAAGUUGGGGAAGUCAUGGGUUCAAGCAGUGGCGGAUCUAAGAAUUUUUUUCACGGGUUCCUUUUGAUCAUGUCUUCACUGGAGGAUAAAUGGAGGGGUGUAAAAUGGUGGGUUCUGCUUGUCAAUUAGUCUGUUAUGACGAUAUCGCGCAAAUGUAGACUCUGUUGAAAGGUUACAUACUUACAUCGGUUGACAAGCAUUCUUUUCGUUUACUCUUCGCUUCUUAAAAUGUAGUUCUUUUUUACGAUUUUAUGCUUAUAUCCAGUGAGUAAAAUUUAAUAUGUGCUUUAUUCGUGUGUGAAUUUUGAAAAGUUGAACUGUAUUAAGUUGUAGAAAAUCGAAUUAAUAAUUUGAUUGGUUUGUCUAGGUACCAAGAAUAAGAGUUGUACAAUCUCAUCAAAGUAGGUUUGUAGUUGUGACUGAGAUAUAACUACUAAAAAUCAGAUGAAUACUGCUAUGAUAUUCUUGCUUCGUGUAUGUAAUUUGAAACGCAAUUUGCUGCCUCACACCUACCCUACUCGAGGACGCAGUGUGCACCAGGGAUGACAAUGUAUGACGAUAUUCGAGAUUAUCUACUUGAAAAUUUACUUAAGAGCGACGCCUUUAAGAAGUAUUUAGUAAUGAAUUAAAUGGAGUGGAGGCACAAAUUGCCUAAGUGUAAGAUAUGCUUUCUACAGA
RNAcentral lists this long non-coding RNA (1198 nucleotides) under Helianthus annuus (common sunflower). The record is from RNAcentral. Lineage: Eukaryota; Viridiplantae; Streptophyta; Magnoliopsida; Asterales; Asteraceae.